Molecule: long non-coding RNA, 1462 nt
Organism: Selaginella moellendorffii
Lineage: Eukaryota; Viridiplantae; Streptophyta; Lycopodiopsida; Selaginellales; Selaginellaceae
Exons: 2
Source: RefSeq, a predicted model, not a curated record
GGAGAAUAUUCUCUGGGCGGGCUUGGAGAAGAUUUUAGGGCGCACGGAGCUGGAUUUUAGGGCGGUCCGUUCGUGGUGUGGCGAUGGGAUGGAUCUUCUCCAGGAUUUUUUUUUCAAGCCUUGCGCCAGGGAUUUUGCCAGUCUCUUGUCAUGGAGGUAGGCAAAAUUUACUUUGUUCUCGCUUAGUUUUUCUCAAUUCCUAGCUUAGAAGCUCGAGAAAAUUCUUGCAUUUUGUCAUCUUUUCUGUCGUUUUUUUGCUUCUUUUCUCCUGCAGGCCUGAUGGAUCGUAUAAGAAUUCAUUGAAUAGCACCGGCGACACCUUAGAACGGAUUUGAAAGGAAAAAUAACUAUUCUUCGUCCUCAGGUAUCGCUCACCUAUUGUCGUAGCUUGCUCUUCAGGUACCACGAUUCAUCGCUCAUCUAUUGUCGUAGCUAUAGUGGGCUUUUCUCAGAAAUUUUUUUUUUCUUUUCUUUGAAUGUGACACUGUUUCCUUUUUUUCUCUCUACAAGGUCGCAGCCCAUAAACGCAACGAUUGAGCUGUUCAGUACCACGACUUAACUGCUGGUCUAUUUGUCGUUCCUUGAGGUAGGCCAAUUGUAGCGCAGUUUGCAGUAGCUUUUGCUUCGAUCAAGCACUCUUUUUACUUCUUUGCUUCAGGAAAACGAAAAGAAAAAAACCAUUUUGAUCCGCAGGCCUGCCUGACCGAUGAUCUUAAAAUCGACAACAUCAACAGCAACAGUGCCAACAAAAGCAGUGCCAACAAAGAACAAAGCUUCAAGAAAGCUGCCGCGGCCGCUGUUUGGUGAGCCGCGUUAAGGGAGAAAGAGAUCUAUGCGAAUCGAUCGAGCGCCAUCAAAAGCAGAUCACAUCUCUCAUGCUGCCAGAUUACUCACCGUGCUCGCGACCGCCAGCAAUCCUCGAUCGAAACAGGCGAGCUCCCCCUUCCUCGUUUCAUUUAUUUCUCCCUCCCCUCUCUCACUUUACUUUCUCUCUUCGUGUAGGCUACACAGUGACGAAGAACGAAUCUCUCUUUGUGCGAUCACGCGGCCGGCUACCUUACGGUGUACAACCAAGACAAACUCUUUACAUCGCGUCAUCGCGUCCCCCUUGGCUCCAUGGACCACACACCCAAUGGGGGGGUUUUAAACAAAACAAAGCGGGGGGGCCGCUGACGUGUCUGAGAGCCCACGUGGAUUUUCCCGGCAAGUGGCCAACUUGGCCGCGAAAAUCGGUCAAAAUCUCCCCGUCCGCUACCUGGGCUUGCGCCACGUGGAUGCAUUGGACGAAGGGAUGCUGUGGCCCAUGCCCGACUGUACACACGCGCCAAGGGGGCCCAUGUCCGUACUGUCCCAUAUGCUAGUACACGUGGGGACUGGGGGCGUUGGAUGUCCGUGUCGCGAUAUCUGAUUAACGACUAAUCUACUCUUUUAUCAUAUUUAAGCCAUUUUUAAGUCAGAAAAA